This is a non-coding RNA of Phrynosoma platyrhinos (Desert horned lizard), 72 nucleotides long. The record is from the annotation of a GenBank genome assembly. Lineage: Eukaryota; Metazoa; Chordata; Lepidosauria; Squamata; Phrynosomatidae.
GAGCCAGUGGCACAGUGGUCUGAGCAUUGGAUUAUGACUCAGGAGACCAGGGUUCAGAUCCCUACUUGGCCA